GGUAGGUUGGCCGAGAGAUAGGCGGUGGAUUGUAGCUCCAAUUACAGAGGUUUAAGUCCUCUCCUUACCA
This 70-nucleotide transfer RNA is filed under the name Thryssa kammalensis (Kammal thryssa). Its description in RNAcentral is "tRNA-Tyr". It matches the Rfam family "tRNA". From Rfam's summary of the family: Transfer RNA (tRNA) molecules are approximately 80 nucleotides in length. Their secondary structure includes four short double-helical elements and three loops (D, anti-codon, and T loops). RNAcentral also lists the same sequence under 1 other name. The record is from RNAcentral. Lineage: Eukaryota; Metazoa; Chordata; Actinopteri; Clupeiformes; Engraulidae.